UGCUUCAGGACCUGCUGCCACCGUGUCCCCUGAGGUGGUGGUGGUGGUGGUGUUGGUAGUGGUGGCUGGGAUUUUGUUCCUAGCUGGAUUCAUUAUGAUGAAGAAAAGACAUGCAGACUGGAGUUCCCAAACAGCUCUAAAGAGAAGUCAUUCUGCAACUCCAGAUAUGCAGAAUCGAUCGGAAGGCGAUCCUCUUCAUGGUGCAUCCAUGGAGCCUACUGUUAAUCAAGAUCCGUCGUGCAAUUUUGAUCUGCAACAUUAGCACAUAAGAGAAAUUUCUUGGCAAAACGCAAAUAUUAGCAGCCGUCAGUUCGACUUUGACUCAUCAGAGAACUUUGCUGUGUGAGUUCUGCUGAUUUAACAUAACAGUAGGAUGGCAAAGGUACUAGUUUUAAU
Non-coding RNA from Electrophorus electricus (electric eel), 396 nucleotides. The record is from RefSeq and is a predicted model, not a curated record. NCBI's taxonomy places the organism in Eukaryota, Metazoa, Chordata, Actinopteri, Gymnotiformes, Gymnotidae.